UCCCGCGAAAAACUCCCGCGUCUACCGCGGC
Molecule: small RNA, 31 nt
Filed under: Bombyx mori (domestic silkworm)
Lineage: Eukaryota; Metazoa; Arthropoda; Insecta; Lepidoptera; Bombycidae
Description: ovarian small RNA-27299
Source: RNAcentral